RNAcentral lists this ribosomal RNA (951 nucleotides) under Triticum aestivum (bread wheat). RNAcentral's name for it is "partial small subunit ribosomal RNA". The record is from RNAcentral. Lineage: Eukaryota; Viridiplantae; Streptophyta; Magnoliopsida; Poales; Poaceae.
AUGCAGGCGCCGGCGUGUACCAAUGCUCCGGCGUGCCCGUUCCCCUUCGCCAUGAUGCAGUCUCAUGGUGCCAGGAUCGUCAGGUUGCACACCUACGACUGGGUUGCGCUGCUCCUCCUGAUCGCCAUGGAAGGUGUCCUCAACGCCAUAGAGCCGUUCCACCGCUUCGUCGGCGAAGGCAUGAUCGCGGACCUCAGAUACCCCAUGAAGAGCAACACCGUCCCGGUCUGGACCGUGCCGAUCGUUGCUGUCAUUGCACCUAUGCUCAUUUUCAUCGCCAUCUACAUCUGGAGGAGGAAUGCGUAUGAUUUGCACCAUGCUACAAUUGGUAUUCUGUUUUCUGUGCUGAUCACCGGCGUCCUGACGGAUGCGAUCAAGAACGCCGUGGGCCGUCCGCGACCCAACUUCUUCUGGCGCUGCUUCCCUGAUGGAAUCGCUGUGUACGACAACAUUACCACAGCAGUCAUAUGCCACGGCGACGCUAGCGUGAUUAAAGAAGGCCACAAGAGCUUCCCAAGUGGCCACUCUUCCUGGUCCUUUGCCGGCCUGGGGUUCCUGUCGUGGUACCUCGCCGGGAAGAUCACCGUCUUCGACCGACGAGGGCACGUCGCCAAGCUGUGCGUCGUCAUCCUGCCUCUCCUGCUCGCCGCCGUCAUCGCCAUCUCGCGGGUAGAUGACUACUGGCACCAUUGGCAGGACGUCUUCGCGGGCGGCAUCCUUGGAAUGGUGGUUGCGUCUGUUUGCUACCUGCAGUUCUUUCCACCACCCUCUGAUGACAAAGGUUUCUGGCCUCAUGCCCACUUCAGGGACAUCAGCGAGAGGGAAGAGGAGAGCCAGAGGCGGCGCGCUACUGAAAUGAGCAACAGUGGCUCAACCGCAAUUGUCCCUCGGCAAGGUGAGACGGGGGCAAACACGAGCCGAACGUUGGACGCGAUGGAGUCCGGUACGUAG